GACGAACGCUGGCGGCGUGCUUAACACAUGCAAGUCGAACGGAAAGGCCCUGCUUUUGUGGGGUGCUCGAGUGGCGAACGGGUGAGUAACACGUGAGUAACCUGCCCUUGACUUUGGGAUAACUUCAGGAAACUGGGGCUAAUACCGGAUAGGGGCUCCUGCUGCAUGGUGGGGGUUGGAAAGUUUCGGCGGUUGGGGAUGGACUCGCGGCUUAUCAGCUUGUUGGUGGGGUAGUGGCUUACCAAGGCUUUGACGGGUAGCCGGCCUGAGAGGGUGACCGGCCACAUUGGGACUGAGAUACGGCCCAGACUCCUACGGGAGGCAGCAGUGGGGAAUAUUGCACAAUGGGCGGAAGCCUGAUGCAGCAACGCCGCGUGCGGGAUGACGGCCUUCGGGUUAUAAACCGCUUUCGCCUGUGACGAAGCGUGAGUGACGGUAAUGGGUAAAGAAGCACCGGCUAACUACGUG
RNAcentral lists this ribosomal RNA (468 nucleotides) under uncultured bacterium. RNAcentral's name for it is "partial 16S ribosomal RNA". It matches the Rfam family "Bacterial small subunit ribosomal RNA", at positions 28 to 507 of the family's 1533-position model. The record is from RNAcentral.